UGGGGAAUUUUGGACAAUGGGGGAAACCCUGAUCAAGCCAUCCCGCGUGUGCGAUGAAGGCCUUCGGGUUGUAAAGCACUUUUGGCAGGAAAGAAACGUCAUGGGUUAAUACCCCGUGAAACUGACGGUACCUGCAGAAUAAGCACCGGCUAACUACGUGCCAGCAGCCGCGGUAAUACGUAGGGUGCAAGCGUUAAUCGGAAUUACUGGGCGUAAAGCGUGCGCAGGCGGUUCGGAAAGAAAGAUGUGAAAUCCCAGAGCUCAACUUUGGAACUGCAUUUUUAACUACCGGGCUAGAGUGUGUCAGAGGGAGGUGGAAUUCCGCGUGUAGCAGUGAAAUGCGUAGAUAUGCGGAGGAACACCGAUGGCGAAGGCAGCCUCCUGGGAUAGCACUGACGCUCAUGCACGAAAGCGUGGGGAGCAAACAGG
This 429-nucleotide ribosomal RNA is filed under the name Acidobacteriota bacterium. RNAcentral describes it as "Acidobacteria bacterium partial 16S ribosomal RNA". It matches the Rfam family "Bacterial small subunit ribosomal RNA", at positions 355 to 776 of the family's 1533-position model. Lineage: Bacteria; Pseudomonadati; Acidobacteriota. The record is from RNAcentral.